UUGGAGGGCAAGUCUGGUGCCAGCAGCCGCGGUAAUUCCAGCUCCAAUAGCGUAUAUUAAAGUUGUUGCAGUUAAAAGGUUCGUAGUUGAAUUUCGGGGUUAGUAGGCUGGUCGUGCCACAGGUAUGCACUGGUCUUACUGAUUCCUCCUUCCUGAUGAACCGUAAUGCCAUUAAUUUGGUGUUGCGGGGAGUCUGGACUGUUACUUUGAAAAAUUAGAGUGUUUAAAGCAGGCUAACGCUUGAAUACAUUAGCAUGGAAUAACGAAAUAGGACGUUCGAUCUUAUUUUGUUGGUUUCUAGGAUUGACGUAAUGAUUAAUAGGGAUAGUUGGGGGCAUUAGCAUUCAAUUGUCAGAGGUGAAAUUCUUGGAUUUAUUGAAGACUAACUACUGCGAAAGCAUUUGCCAAGGAUGUUUUCAUUAAUCAAGAACGAAAGUUAGGGGAUCGAAGACGAUCAGGUACCGUCGUAGUCUUAACCAUAAACUACGCCGACUAGGGGUCGAUGAUGUUAAUUUUAUAAUGAC
Molecule: ribosomal RNA, 524 nt
Filed under: uncultured Glomeraceae
Lineage: Eukaryota; Fungi; Glomeromycota; Glomeromycetes; Glomerales; Glomeraceae
Description: SSU rRNA
Rfam family: Eukaryotic small subunit ribosomal RNA
Source: RNAcentral